This is a long non-coding RNA of Suncus etruscus (white-toothed pygmy shrew), 203 nucleotides long. RefSeq lists it as uncharacterized. The record is from RefSeq and is a predicted model, not a curated record. NCBI's taxonomy places the organism in Eukaryota, Metazoa, Chordata, Mammalia, Eulipotyphla, Soricidae. The transcript is spliced from 3 exons.
GGGGUCCUGUGGCUUUGCACUGGUCGGAACCGUCGCCUGUGUUCACGACUUGGAAGUCCAGUUAAGUGUUUGGCUAAGUUCAGAAGGAAACGUGUUUUAAGACGCUUGUUGAGGCCUGGAGAGAUUGCAUACAGCAGUGCUGAGGAUCAAAACCAGUUUCUCGUACGAAUGCAAGAGCUGUACCACUAAGCCAUUUGGAGCCA